CUGAAACUGAAUAAAAAGGCAACUCCCCGAGGCACUGCUUGAUGGUAGCAAUGCCAGUCUCAACUUCAGAAAGAGACAGGCAAUACUCUCCAAUAAUCCAAAGAGCACAAGAGCAGACCCUUGCCGCUCUGAUUUGGUAGAAAGUGUCCAACAGCCUAGUUAUUAUGGAAACCCUUAGUUUAGGAUUGGUUUCUAUUAUCUCACGAACAAAAACAACCACAUCAAUAGCUGAAGCAACAUUGCUAUCUCCAAGGAAAUCCAUCAACAGAUGAACCACUGUGCUUGCAACUUCUGGGAACUUAAUAGCACAAGAAUGAAUAGCUUGAAUAAGCAUUUGUCUGUACUCUCCAUUCUUCUCAAGCUCUCCGCUCUGAGUCUUAACUACUUCCUUCUUCAACAUAAGAACAACCUCAUU
Molecule: unclassified non-coding RNA, 415 nt
Filed under: Hevea brasiliensis (rubber tree)
Lineage: Eukaryota; Viridiplantae; Streptophyta; Magnoliopsida; Malpighiales; Euphorbiaceae
Source: RNAcentral